Molecule: unclassified non-coding RNA, 391 nt
Filed under: soil metagenome
Description: partial contains 5.8S ribosomal RNA, internal transcribed spacer 2, and large subunit ribosomal RNA
Rfam family: 5.8S ribosomal RNA (bases 1-122)
Source: RNAcentral
GAUGAAGAACGCAGCGAAAUGCGAUACUUGGUGUGAAUUGCAGAAUCCCGUGAACCAUCGAGUCUUUGAACGCAAGUUGCGCCCGAAGCCAUUAGGCCGAGGGCACGCCUGCCUGGGCGUCACACGUCGUUGCCCCCCCAUCUACUCCUUCGGGAUUGCGGGGGGCGGAUGAUGGCCUCCCGUGCGCCUCGCCGCGCGGUUGGCAUAAAUGCCAAGUCCUCGGCGACGCACGCCACGACAAUCGGUGGUUGCGAAACCUCGGUUGCCCGUCGUGUGCGGUCGUCGCGCAUCAAGGGCUCGAAAAAAUUGCCGGGUUCCGGCUCGGCUUUCAACGCGACCCCAGGUCAGGCGGGGUUACCCGCUGAAUUUAAGCAUAUCAAUAAGCGGAGGA